CGUUCCUCUGCCCAUCGCCACCAACGACGCCGCCUCAGCUACACUGACUGACGUUCCUUCGUCUGCACAACGCCGCCACUCCCCGCGUCGCCCAGCUCUCCUCCCUCCCCGUCGCCUGCCCAUAUUCUUUUGUUCCUCUCCCCGCCCCCCGCUUCGCCCCCCGCCCCCACCACCAAUGUCAUCCAUCCUCUCCCCCAACCCCACCCCCACAUCGCCCAUCCUCCAGCCCCACCCCGCGUCACCCAAACAAUGCCCUAGUUGCCCCGCACCACCUCUGCCCAACACCCCUGUUGGUUGCCGUCGACCCUCCAUCUGCCCAUUCUCUAAUUGGGAAGUUUGAAAAGAUCUGGUCUUGAACUUUUGUAAACAUUCCACCCAGUAUUUUGAAUGGCUUUACAGUGCAAACUUCGGAUGACUAAAAUUGACAAGAUUGGAAGCGAAGAUGAUGUUGAAUUAAUGGAUCUAGUCUUUUGUUUGUUAUUGGCCAAAUCUGAUGAAUUAAUGGAUUUUUUUAACACUUUUUGUUCUUUGAAUUUUAAUGAAAUGAGGUGCUGCUUGGACAGUACAUCUUUUGUGUCCAGUUGUAGAGAUGUACUUGGUGUUACUUAUGUAGAGUGUAGACUCAAAAUUAUGUGUGCAAACACUUGUGUUAUGGAGAUGCUAUAGUGUAGUUUGAAUGAGGUUCUGAUUAUAUGCAAUUGAAUGAGGUUUUGUGGCCUUUAUUUAUAUGCAAUGAAAU
This is a long non-coding RNA of Juglans microcarpa x Juglans regia, 739 nucleotides long. RefSeq lists it as uncharacterized. NCBI's taxonomy places the organism in Eukaryota, Viridiplantae, Streptophyta, Magnoliopsida, Fagales, Juglandaceae. The transcript has 2 exons. The record is from RefSeq and is a predicted model, not a curated record.